CACACCGCCCGUCACAUCAUGAAAAGCCGUUUGUACCCGAAGUCGCUACGCUAACCGCAAGGAAGCCGGUGCCGAAAGGUAUGGAUGGUGAUUGGGAUGAAGUCGUAACAAGGUACCC
Molecule: ribosomal RNA, 118 nt
Filed under: uncultured bacterium
Lineage: Bacteria
Description: partial 16S ribosomal RNA
Rfam family: Bacterial small subunit ribosomal RNA
Source: RNAcentral